Long non-coding RNA from Bubalus bubalis (water buffalo), 675 nucleotides. RefSeq lists it as uncharacterized. The transcript is spliced from 4 exons. The record is from RefSeq and is a predicted model, not a curated record. Lineage: Eukaryota; Metazoa; Chordata; Mammalia; Artiodactyla; Bovidae.
AGAUGGCCCUCCUGAAGAGGGCAUGGAAUUUCUGCACCCUUUCCCCACACCUUGCCCACCCUUCUGCCAUCUGGCUGCUCCUGAGUUAAUAUCCUGUAAUAAGUCAGUGAACUGGAGGCAUAGAGGGAGGACCCUUUUCUCCACCCUCCACACCUGUCAUGUUUGUUUAGCACGGACCUCCUGGCAACAAUUCCUCUCCUUGCUCCACCCGUGCAGCUCCUACAGAUCUGGCAUUUUCCUUCAUGACCCUGCUUCCCUAGACACAGUAAUUAACAGAGGUGGACAGCAGACAAGUGGAAACUGAGGCACACGGGGGACGCGGAGGCUGUGAGGUCACGUCACACACUUGUGAGAUGUGGCCACAUGAUGCAGUUCUGGAAGAAGUUCUGUUUCGGUCUGCUUAAAAAGAGAGGACCCAGCUGGGAAGUGGCCUUUCGCCUUCAACCUUUCUUCUGGUCUGGAACUGGGACUCAUGGCUGGAGCUCCUGUUGUAAUCUCACAUCAUAAAGUGAAAUUGAUGGAAGCCAUAAACAACGGGCAACAGGAACGCUCACUUGUGAGCCAGCAUGCUAUGCUAAGUCACUUCAGUCGUGUCCGAUUCUGUGCGACCUCAUAGACGGCAGCCCACCAGGCUCCCCCGUCCCUGGGACACUCCAGGCAAGAACACUGGAGUGG